GUUGGAGGUAGGGGUAAUUAAAGAGAGUAGUCUCUUAGUAGCUGUGUGACCCCCAGAGUGGAUCGGAAGUGACUUGUAGCUGGGCAGACAUAACUAUAUCAACAGAUUGGUUGUGGCUGUGUUUUAUGGUCAAUUCUGUCCUUCCCUGUAUUUCACAGGUUGAAGCAACAGUGUUAAGAAGAGAAACUCAAAGAAAAAUGGAACCGUAGUGGGCAAAACUGUGGUUCAUAAGUGUGAUCAUUCUCCAUCAUUCGGUUUCCAGCUUCCUUAACUUUUAUUCCUCCUUUGCUCUAUCCUCACAGAAUUGCUGGAAUCCACAAAUACCAAACUAUGGCUAUUGAAGCCGACCUUGGAGGUGGCAGCUUGGUUUAUCUUGCUUAUUUUCAUCCUGGAGAUCCUUCUUAAGUGGCUAUCCAACUUUUCCGUUUUCUGGAAGAGUGCCUGGAAUGUCUUUGACUUUGUUGUUACCAUGUUGGGACCUCCCGAAUUCCCUGGUAACAGUGUUCAUUCUCUUCACCUUGGAUCAUUGGUAUGCACUGCUUCAGGACGUCUGGAAGGUGCCUGAAGUCAGUCUCAUCUUCAGCAGCAUCUAUUUCAUCCUUUGGUUGUUGCUUGGCUCCAUUAUCUUUCGAAGUAUCAUAGUAGCCAUGAUGGG
Molecule: long non-coding RNA, 655 nt
Organism: Nomascus leucogenys (northern white-cheeked gibbon)
Lineage: Eukaryota; Metazoa; Chordata; Mammalia; Primates; Hylobatidae
Exons: 2
Source: RefSeq, a predicted model, not a curated record